GCACGUGUGGCGGAAUUGGCAGACGCACUAGACUUAGGAUCUAGCGCCUUACGGCGUGGGGGUUCGACUCCCUUCACGUGCACCA
RNAcentral lists this transfer RNA (85 nucleotides) under Mycoplasma sp. RNAcentral's name for it is "tRNA-Leu". It matches the Rfam family "tRNA". Rfam says of the family: Transfer RNA (tRNA) molecules are approximately 80 nucleotides in length. Their secondary structure includes four short double-helical elements and three loops (D, anti-codon, and T loops). Lineage: Bacteria; Bacillati; Mycoplasmatota; Mollicutes; Mycoplasmatales; Mycoplasmataceae. The record is from RNAcentral. RNAcentral also lists the same sequence under 1 other name.